Molecule: ribosomal RNA, 2825 nt
Filed under: Campylobacter jejuni
Lineage: Bacteria; Pseudomonadati; Campylobacterota; Epsilonproteobacteria; Campylobacterales; Campylobacteraceae
Description: partial 23S ribosomal RNA
Rfam family: Bacterial large subunit ribosomal RNA
Source: RNAcentral
GCGCAAGAGGGCAAACCCAGUGCUUGCACUGGGGGUUGUAGGACUGCAAUGUGCAAGAGGUAAGUUUAGCAGAACAUUCUGGAAAGUAUAACCAUAGAGGGUGAUAGUCCCGUAUGCGAAAAACAAACCUUAGCUAGCAGUAUCCUGAGUAGGGCGGGACACGAGGAAUCCUGUCUGAAUCCGGGUCGACCACGAUCCAACCCUAAAUACUAAUACCAGAUCGAUAGUGCACAAGUACCGUGAGGGAAAGGUGAAAAGAACUGAGGUGAUCAGAGUGAAAUAGAACCUGAAACCAUUUGCUUACAAUCAUUCAGAGCCCUAUGUAGCAAUACAGGGUGAUGGACUGCCUUUUGCAUAAUGAGCCUGCGAGUUGUGGUGUCUGGCAAGGUUAAGCAAACGCGAAGCCGUAGCGAAAGCGAGUCUGAAUAGGGCGCUUAGUCAGAUGCUGCAGACCCGAAACGAAGUGAUCUAUCCAUGAGCAAGUUGAAGCUAGUGUAAGAACUAGUGGAGGACUGAACCCAUAGGCGUUGAAAAGCCCCGGGAUGACUUGUGGAUAGGGGUGAAAGGCCAAUCAAACUUCGUGAUAGCUGGUUCUCUCCGAAAUAUAUUUAGGUAUAGCGUUGUGUCGUAAUAUAAGGGGGUAGAGCACUGAAUGGGCUAGGGCAUACACCAAUGUACCAAACCCUAUCAAACUCCGAAUACCUUAUAUGUAAUCACAGCAGUCAGGCGGCGAGUGAUAAAAUCCGUCGUCAAGAGGGAAACAACCCAGACUACCAGCUAAGGUCCCUAAAUCUUACUUAAGUGGAAAACGAUGUGAAGUUACUUAAACAACCAGGAGGUUGGCUUAGAAGCAGCCAUCCUUUAAAGAAAGCGUAAUAGCUCACUGGUCUAGUGAUUUUGCGCGGAAAAUAUAACGGGGCUAAAGUAAGUACCGAAGCUGUAGACUUGCACACAACUUAGAUUAUUUAAGUUUAGAAUAUGAGAAACUAAGUUAUAUGUUUAGUUAUAUUUUUACUGAUUUUUAUAGAGUAAAGAUAGAAAUAAAACUUAGUAAAAUCAGUAAAAAUAUUCUUAGACUAAAGUUAAGUAGUUUAAGUUGUGUGCAAGUGGUAGGAGAGCGUUCUAUUUGCGUCGAAGGUAUACCGGUAAGGAGUGCUGGAGCGAAUAGAAGUGAGCAUGCAGGCAUGAGUAGCGAUAAUUAAUGUGAGAAUCAUUAACGCCGUAAACCCAAGGUUUCCUACGCGAUGCUCGUCAUCGUAGGGUUAGUCGGGUCCUAAGUCGAGUCCGAAAGGGGUAGACGAUGGCAAAUUGGUUAAUAUUCCAAUACCAACAUUAGUGUGCGAUGGAAGGACGCUUAGGGCUAAGGGGGCUAGCGGAUGGAAGUGCUAGUCUAAGGUCGUAGGAGGUUAUACAGGCAAAUCCGUAUAACAAUACUCCGAGAACUGAAAGGCUUUUUGAAGUCUUCGGAUGGAUAGAAGAACCCCUGAUGCCGUCGAGCCAAGAAAAGUUUCUAAGUUUAGCUAAUGUUGCCCGUACCGUAAACCGACACAGGUGGGUGGGAUGAGUAUUCUAAGGCGCGUGGAAGAACUCUCUUUAAGGAACUCUGCAAAAUAGCACCGUAUCUUCGGUAUAAGGUGUGGUUAGCUUUGUAUUAGGAUUUACUCCGAAAGCAAGGAAACUUACAACAAAGAGUCCCUCCCGACUGUUUACCAAAAACACAGCACUCUGCUAACUCGUAAGAGGAUGUAUAGGGUGUGACGCCUGCCCGGUGCUCGAAGGUUAAUUGAUGGGGUUAGCAUUAGCGAAGCUCUUGAUCGAAGCCCGAGUAAACGGCGGCCGUAACUAUAACGGUCCUAAGGUAGCGAAAUUCCUUGUCGGUUAAAUACCGACCUGCAUGAAUGGCGUAACGAGAUGGGAGCUGUCUCAAAGAGGGAUCCAGUGAAAUUGUAGUGGAGGUGAAAAUUCCUCCUACCCGCGGCAAGACGGAAAGACCCCGUGGACCUUUACUACAGCUUGACACUGCUACUUGGAUAAGAAUGUGCAGGAUAGGUGGGAGGCUUUGAGUAUAUGACGCCAGUUGUAUAUGAGCCAUUGUUGAGAUACCACUCUUUCUUAUUUGGGUAGCUAACCAGCUUGAGUUAUCCUCAAGUGGGACAAUGUCUGGUGGGUAGUUUGACUGGGGCGGUCGCCUCCCAAAUAAUAACGGAGGCUUACAAAGGUUGGCUCAGAACGGUUGGAAAUCGUUCGUAGAGUAUAAAGGUAUAAGCCAGCUUAACUGCAAGACAUACAAGUCAAGCAGAGACGAAAGUCGGUCUUAGUGAUCCGGUGGUUCUGUGUGGAAGGGCCAUCGCUCAAAGGAUAAAAGGUACCCCGGGGAUAACAGGCUGAUCUCCCCCAAGAGCUCACAUCGACGGGGAGGUUUGGCACCUCGAUGUCGGCUCAUCGCAUCCUGGGGCUGGAGCAGGUCCCAAGGGUAUGGCUGUUCGCCAUUUAAAGCGGUACGCGAGCUGGGUUCAGAACGUCGUGAGACAGUUCGGUCCCUAUCUGCCGUGGGCGUAAGAAGAUUGAAGAGAUUUGACCCUAGUACGAGAGGACCGGGUUGAACAAACCACUGGUGUAGCUGUUGUUCUGCCAAGAGCAUCGCAGCGUAGCUAAGUUUGGAAAGGAUAAACGCUGAAAGCAUCUAAGCGUGAAGCCAACUCUAAGAUGAAUCUUCUCUAAGCUCUCUAGAAGACUACUAGUUUGAUAGGCUGGGUGUGUAAUGGAUGAAAGUCCUUUAGCUGACCAGUACUAAUAGAGCGUUUGGCUUAUCUUUAAUAAAGCAU